AGUACAAACACACAAAACAAAUCAUGACACUCUACUGUAGCUGCAUAAUUUUACAUAGAACAAGCCUCUCUUAGGAAAGGUAAAAGCAUACACCCCAAAACCUUAAGUAAGAAUCUCCCAAAGUGAAAAUAUAUUAAUGGCUGUCAAUAUUUCAUUUUUAUUUAGUGUGAUGUGUUCUUUUACAGGUUUUCCUUUGAAUGAUAGAAGCAGUUUGAAGACUGGAAACUCAUGUGCUUCAGAAGGGACCUACGCCGUCAUCAGCAGUUUCUCCUCUACUCCCAAAGCACAGCCUGCUGUCCCAGCGCAGAGCGUAAAGGACAAGUCUGAUGAAAAUCAGACCCAUGUCUAUUCUGCCAUUAUGACCCAGCCGUCAGCCUCAGCUAACAAGGACUUGAUCUACACCCUUGCACAGCCACAUGGAGACUAAUGGACUUCACUUCUGCGUAAUGAACCUGACUUCUGUCUGUUUCCCACAUCAUAGUAUUUGUAUAACAGCAGCGACAAUGAGUAGCGCAGUGUGUGUGAGCGCUAUUCAUUGCCAGUGUAAGUUAUUAAGGCUGUUCCCACCUACACUCCUGCAGUGUUCUGUGGUGUGUUCAUUCAUUGUUCGUUUGUCACGCCGUAUUUUUGACUCACCUGCAAUACUGAAACUAAGCAAUUUUGACAAGUGUCACUGUUGUACCAACAUUUUCGCUGAUUAUACACGUUGCUGCUUGCUUCCUGAAGCCUCACACUGCUUAGUUCGGACAAGCGCGUUAAAGUUCGAAGCAGGGGGACUGAGCAGUUGCAAGCUUCAGAACAACAUUUACAAGAGCAUCACUGAGCUGAGGCUGAUAUUUUAACAUUGCACCUGGAUUAUGCCAUCAGCGGCGAUAUUUGUAAUGGGCUCAGGAGACAGGACUCCAGAAACAUGGGCUGUAUUGCACCUUGGCAUGUAUUAGCAGCAAAGCACAUUCAUAAACCCAGAUGACAACUUAAACACACAAUGAACUACACAAACCCUCACAUUAUAACAAUAACAGCAAAAAGCAUUAAACUGUACAAACACUGUUGAACAUCAGCAGAAGUGCAUUAUAGGCAAUGCAUACAUUUGUAUUUAUGGGUCGGUGAAUGUGUGUAGCGUGGUAGUCACUGGGGGAACUAUGUUGCCCUUACAACCCCUAUAAAGUUCUGCAGAUUCAGAAGGCGUCUCUGCAUAUUUUAUCAAAUUUUGCUGCUGUGACAUGCUGAUCAGCAAUAAAAGACAUAUUCCUGGAGUCCCGUCUCUUGAAUCCUUUAUUAACAGCACUGUCGCUGUGCAGUGAAGGCAGGAUGUUGCAGUACUGAUACAGUGAGUAAGAUAUUGAGCAUUUGAUGGUAUGACUCUAUAAUACGAUUUACUUGCUACAUAACUUUGCACAGGCAAAUUAUUGAUAUUAAAUUAUUUAUGUGUUAUUAGUGCUUGUUCACAUAGAGCAUAAUCGUAAUUUUUCAUCACUCCCAAAUGCCCACCCAAUGAUGGGCAUUAGAUAGUCAGCUUCCAUAUGUUUGACACUGCUGACGAAGGUUGCUUUGCUGUAUAUAGACAGAUAUUUUCAGUGCUAUAUGAAAUGUAUCCAAAAUAAUAUUUGAGAAACUCUUACAUUAUUUUAAUCUCAAUUUAUGCAUAAAAAUAAUAGUGAGAUGUUAUUUUUGAAUCAACACGCAACCGAUUAUAGUUAAGAUUUUUUUUUUCCCUUGUGGGUUUGCUUCUUUGAAUCUUAGUUAUUAUUUCUAAAUGGGCACCUACUCUGCCUCCUUCAUGUGGUACAACUUUUAUUUCUGAAUAAAACAUAGCAGCAGCAGGUAGCGUAUCAGUUACAGUAGCUAUUAUUUCCUAGUACUUUUCCUAAAUUGCCUUUAUGAAAAUUGCCCAGCUGUACAAACAGAUAAAUAAUUGCAAUUAGCUCAAGCGAGUUGUUUUACAGGAAAGUAUCAGCUAAAUAUUUCAAUGUUUUUAAACACUGCAGUUUUCCAGCUGACUGUUCAAAUCAUUUUUUUUUCCAUUUCUGUCAUGUUCAGCACAAAAUCUACCAUGUUGUAAUUAAUCAUCACAAAGCGCUGUUAUAUGUUUGGUGCUGUUCUGUAUGUAUAUUUCAAAGCUGCAUACUUUUUCCUCUUCCAAAUGACACACUUUGUUUUUACCCUAUUGUGACAUUUCAGUUCUCCAGCCAGAGUUUUAGGCAAUCUAUGUAUUAAUGGGGACAAUUGCAGAAAAUCACUACCUUUCUCACAGGAGGGUUUUAGUCAUUGCUAGUAUUACUGUAAAUACAGCAUCCGAAGUAUUUGCAUUCAUACAGAGAACACUUCUUUUAUUACAGUACCAAGGACACACGCCUUUGCAAUCUUAAAUCUGGAUUCUACCCGCUGUCCAGUCUGAAUCAAAAUAACUCCGAGGUACAUAUGCUCCUUCCCACGUUUUCUGUCCACUGGGUUUUUUCAAAUAUAUUUAGAAUCGGUGGUUUCCCUUCUAGUUGCAGGGCCACUAAAUGUGUUACCCACAAACCCAGAGUAGAGGCUACAGGUAGAGACUGGGGGAGGGGGUUUCCUUAGUAGACACACACACACACACACACACACACA
Molecule: long non-coding RNA, 2601 nt
Organism: Scleropages formosus (Asian bonytongue)
Lineage: Eukaryota; Metazoa; Chordata; Actinopteri; Osteoglossiformes; Osteoglossidae
Exons: 4
Source: RefSeq, a predicted model, not a curated record